Molecule: long non-coding RNA, 5209 nt
Filed under: Arabidopsis lyrata
Lineage: Eukaryota; Viridiplantae; Streptophyta; Magnoliopsida; Brassicales; Brassicaceae
Description: long non-coding RNA (ALYR_LNC000978)
Source: RNAcentral
GUUUCUUGAACCUUCUCGGUUUCCCUUGCACCUUUCUUUGAUUUCCGAGGGUUCUUGUCUUUGGAACCUUUUGGGUCUACCACGUUUCUUAUGUGUUGUAGCCUCUGUAGCAACUUGAUUGUGUUCCUUGUGAACAUCAAUACGUACUGGUGCAUUAUAAGCUGGUAUGUACGAUUUUGUUACUCUCUUUGGGUCAUUAUAGGAAUCUUGGUAACUGUUUUAGCUAGCUUUUAUAGAUAUAUAGUCUUUUGGAUCUCUGAUGGAGUCCGAGGAUCUUGCCAUGUGAAGGAUGUUUGAUUCCAUAUAAGUUCUUUGACCAGCUUGUUAGUCUCUCCACCCAGUGUUGGGAAAACGGAUUCAUUGAGAUGACAAUCCUUGUAUCUGGCCUUUGGCUCGAGAUACUUAAUGAUGGUGGGAGAAUCAUUUUUAACGUAUAUUCCCAUCCCCUUUUGAGGUCCCAUCAUUUGCUCUCUGUGGUGGUGCUAUGGGUAAAUAGGUGACACACCCAAAUGUCUUUAGAUGGGAAACGUCUGGCUCAUGACCCGUUAGCAAUUGGGAUGGGGAAUAUCUAUGUUUACUAAAUGGCCGAAUGCGUAUUAAUUCAACAGCGUGUAAAACUGCAUGUCCCCAAGCUGAGACCGGAAGCUGCGACCUCAUGAGUAAUGGUCGAGCAAUUAGUUGAUUUCGUUUAAUGAGGGAUUCAGCUAAUCCGUUCUGUGUAUGGACAUGUGCCACAGGAUGUUCCACACUUACCCCCAUGUCCAUACAAUAGUCAUUAAAUGCUUGGGAAGUGAAUUCACCAGCAUUAUCUAAACGUAUGGUCUUAAGAGGAAAAUCUGGAAAAUGGGCUCGCAAUCUGAUCAUUUGGGCCAAUAACCUAACAAACGCUUGGUUCCUAGAAGACAAUAGGCAAACAUGCGACCAGCGGGUCGAUGCAUUGAUUAAAACCAUGAAGUACCGAAAUGUUCCACAAGGUGGAUGGAUCGGACCACAUAUGUCUCCUUGAAUUCGUUCCAGAAAAUUUAAGGUCUCUUUAGACACUUUGACUGGUGAAGGUCGAGUGAUAAGCUUCCCUUGUGAACAGGCUAUGCACGUGUGGUGCUUAGGGAAAACUCGGUUUUCUUUAAGGGUGUGCCCUUUAGAACUUUGAAUUAAUUUACGCAUCAUAUUCGAACCGGGCUGGCCAAGCCGGUCAUGCCAUUAGUGAAUCUCUCAGUAAACUCUUUUGCUUACUUUAUUAGCCUUUAUCAUAUUGACCUUGGCAUAGUAAAGAUCUAUGACGCGGGUAUAGUCUCUAAGACCUUCUCAUGGUCUUCGGGUGUUCUUAGUAAUAUAUGGGAAUCCUUUGUUCCCUUCACCCUUAGUUUCAAUGUGGAAACCAUUCAAACACUUUUCUUUGAAACUCAACAAGGCCCCUUUGAGCUGGGUGAAUAUGAAGCAUCUGAGGAUGCGUGCCCUUGGGAAUAUGGGCCUGCCAUGGGCCUGCCCUUAGCCUUCACUAAAUUAAGCUAUACCCGCAAUUUGGCUAAUCAACCAUGUCUUUGGAUAUUUUGUUGGCAUUCCGAAGUCUCAUAGUCAUCUAUCUCAUGGUCGAAAUCUUCUUCACCAUUGUGAUGAACUAAAUGAACUUCUAGAUUCUUUUCAAACUCUCUUGAUAGAGAUCAAUGAGAUUCUUAGGAGUCAUGCACGUCUUAGUCCAAUGGUUUCCCCAUUCCUCAUCAGUGGCAAACAAGUUUAUUUGAGUGUUGUGGUUUGGGUAUACCACGGCCUCUAACUCGAUUACGACCAAAGUCGGGUCGGCGGCCUUAACCAUAUGAAUUUUUCCUUGAUCAUAUAAAUUAUAAUUGCCACUUCUACCAUGGCCAUUCCAUUUACCAUGACUGUGGCCAUGAUACUUAUCUCUUUGUAGGUGGUUAGACUCUUUAGUCUCUUUAGGCUCUUUAGGCUCUUCAGCCCAAUGGGCUUCUGAUAAUGGGGUAGGACCAGGAGGUCUCAUUUCACUAUUUAUAACUCAUUGUUUUGCUCAGCAAGUAGCAAAACAAGAGUUUAGAGUUGCAUAUGUGGUAAAACCUUUUUUCACGAUAUUGUUGCUGAGGCAAUAUAUUGUUUGUGUGAAAGGUCGAGAAUGCUUUCUCUAGCAAGUCAUUCUCAGUAACUUCCUCACCACGGAAUCUCAGUAUUGACACUAUUUUAAAUAGUGCUGAGUUAUACUCAUUCAUGGACUUGAAUUCCUAGAAUUUGAGAUUCUUCCGAUCGAAUCGGGCUUUUGGGUAAUAGCACCGUUGUUUGGUGGUUAUAUAUAUAUAUAUUUUUUUUCAACUCUGUCCUGAGAUCCAGAAGAUUCUUAAUAGUGAGGUAUUGAUUUUGAGACUCUCAUUGAGGUGAUGGUGUAUGUUAGUAAUCGCCUUAUAUCUUUCUCUUCUGGUGGCAUUGUUUCCUUCCACAAUAGAUUCACCAAGUCCUUUUUCCUUUAGGACAAUCUCAGUGUCCAAAACCCAUUGUAAAUAAUUGUCACUAGAGGCAUUGAGUGCCGUGUAUUCAUAAUAGUUGAUUUCUGAUAUCUAUAAUAUAUAGAGUUAAAUGAGAACUCAUGUAAUCGGUUAGACCAAGUCAUGCGGUAUUUAAGACCGAGCCAUGCUUGUCUUCAGCAAGUGUUUUCUAAACAAUCAUGUUAUAUAUAUAUAUAUGGAUGAAAUCAACCCUAGAAGAUUGAUCUAGUAUGCAACAACCAAACAAUCGGAUCAUACUAGAUUAGGAUAUUAGGAUUUCGCGGUUAAGUUUUAGGGUUUUAGCAUCCGCGAUUUAUAGUACUAGGGUUUUUGCUAGGAUUUCGGUUUUAUGUAUGGAACUUUCUAUUUAUGGAAACUUUCCUUAUAUGGAACUUUCCUUUUAUGGAAAAUUUUUAUUUCUCAUCUAGAAAUAAAUCCUAAACAAUUAUGUACUUUAUGGUUUUGGAAUAUUUACUUAUGAAGGAGUUUCCUAUUUUGGUAACUUUCCAUUUUGGGAAACUUGCUAUUUUAGGAAACCUUUUAUUUUGGGAAACUUGCUAUUUUACGAAACUUUCUAUUUCUGUAAACUUUCUUUAUAUGGAACUUUCUAUUUCUGGAAACUUUCCAUUUAUAGGAAGCUUGAUCUUAAACCGUGACUUAGGGUAUAUUAAACCGGUUUAACCUAGGAUUUAGGGUUUCGGUUUACUUUCGGUUUAACUUAGGGUUUAUAUUAAAACAUUCAAUCUAUCAUGCCAUUAAACAUCUUUCCAUUCACUAACUUCUCAAUUAAUUCUCCAAUCAUAAAUCAAAUCACAUGUGCCAAUUUUCAUGCAAAUUUUAUCUUAUCAAACUUUAAUUGGAUCAUGUAUAUAAAGCAUAUUAAAUAAAUAGCACUUAUCUUAAUUGGAGAACUGAAACAGAGACCCGAGAUCUGAUACGGAGAUUGGAAACAGUUAUGUCUCUUAGCUGGUUGGGACCUCCUACAAAAUCUCAAUAUAUAUAAUCCUGAUUCCUGAGAAACUCAAAAUUUUGCUCAUAGAAACAUGGCUAUUACAUUAGUAAAAAGAAAAAAAAAUAGGGUUUCUGUAAUAUACUGCAUAAAACAGUUCAUAAUCAAUAACAUAUAAUCCGUUCAUAAAUCGUACAAAAAUAUAGACAGGAUUGAUAAUAAAUAAUCUGUGCAAAAUUUGUGCAAAUCUACAGACAGAAUUGACAACAGAUAAUCUGUGCAAAAUUCGUGCAGAAAUACAGAUAAAAUUGAUAACAUAUAAUCCGUGCAAAAUUCGUGCAAAACUACAGACAGAAUUGACAAUAGAUAAUCUGUGCAAAAUUCGUGCAGAAAUACAGACAAAAUUGAUAACAUAUAAUCCGUGCAAAAUUCGUGCAAAACUACAGACAGAAUAGAUAACAAAUUAUCUGUGCAAAGUUCGUGCAGAAAUACAGACAGGAUUGAUAACAGAUAAUCCGUGCAAAAUUCGUGCAGAAACAAAUAUGAAUAGAAAACUUAUCUCGAUAGAGUUUAAAAUUUUGUUUGCAGAGACAGCUAGGGUUUUGGUUUUGGUUUUUGUGAGAGAGAUUUAGGGUUUCGGGAUUUUUUAAUUUUUAGGGUAAGAGGCUAUCGUGCUGAUAACGUGUUGUGAACUGUGUCUUUCAUUAAUAGAAUAAGGGAUAUAUAUACAAGGAUAAUAGCAGGAUACAGAGAAUAAGGUAAAACCCUAAUGGGCCAUGGGCCGGUUAUGGAGUCCAUCCAUAUGGUUUAUAACAAUGGUAAAGUAAAACUAGCGUGUGAGUUUUCUCUCCCUUCUCUCUCUUGAUUUUUCAGAGAGAGAAAGCGAUUUUUGGCAAAGACCAAUCUCUGUCCAACAUCGGCCAGUUUCUUUAACGACGAUGGUUGGCUCCUUUCCAGCAUCAACCGGCUUCUUUAGCGGUGGUGGCUGGCUUUUGUGUCCGGACAUGGUCCGGCUUUGCCCUCUUAUCUCGUCGUCCGGUUCCCACUUUACUCUUUCGUGGAAUCCGGCUUUAGUUUCUGGUUAUUCGAUGCCGAUUUUAUGUUUUUGCUUUCAAUAAUCAUCGUGAUCUUAGUACCAAUUUCUCUUUUGGGUUUCCUUACCAUCCUCCUUUCUCGAGCUUUCUUGGAUCCUUCUUUAGAUGAAAGUCAAUCUUUGUUUUAAUUCUAGUCUCUGUCUUUUGGGUUUUAAUCAACUUUUAGGGUUUGUUUCAACCCAAUUCGAUCUGCUCAAUCCUUUGAUUUGGAAUCUCAAUCCGGCAUAUCUCGAAAGAUUUAAUCAUCAAGAGAAAUCAUGAUUUCUCUUUUGUCAUAGAUCGUUGCUGUUAUGGAGGAAUUUAGAUCAAACUACAAACAUAAGUUUUUAUUUCUAGAUUUUUCUUAAGAUUCGAUCAUUGGUUAGUUUGUUGGAGAGCAUCUUUGGUAGCGAUAUGGUGGAGCAAAGCGGCGGAUUUACAAGAGCGAUGAGGUUGUCGUGGAGGAAUCGGUUGGUUACCGGAAUUGAUGGUGGUGCUGGGAAGGUAACGAUGAAACAAUCGUCGGUGUAAGAAAUGAGAGUCACAUCCACGUGUCAUAUGUUGCUUUCACUUGUUUUAUUUGCGAUGUACCUUUUGUAUCUUUAUGGAUUUUCGUUGAGCCCAUUGUUGUGGAUGUCGGAUUCACACACUCAAGUAUUUUAUUAAGUAGGAAAGAUUAUUCUUGAGGGGCAAAAAUG